UCUUCUGUAGCUCAGUGGUAGAGCGUCCGAACGGUGUGCGGAAAGUCACAUAGGUUCGACUCUUGUUGGAAGAA
This is a non-coding RNA of Desmophyllum pertusum, 74 nucleotides long. Lineage: Eukaryota; Metazoa; Cnidaria; Anthozoa; Scleractinia; Caryophylliidae. The record is from the annotation of a GenBank genome assembly.